UACCUGACAAAGCAGAAUUUUCUUUUUCGUUUUUAGGGUGUAAUCCUAAGGAUACUACGACGGUGAUUAUGAUUAACAUGGAAGAUAAUGCUGGAUCUGGAAAUUUCAAGAUGACUUGCUUAAUGACUGCUAAGUUCUGGCUGUCGUUCUUCAUGCAUGGGCUCAUCGGUAACUGGCAAAAUGGGGCGUCCCGGAGAAGGGCUGUCAACUGGUCGGAAUGUGAAACCAGGAGAAUCUGCACUUGAAAGUGACUCAGGAGUUCCAACAGAACUGAGGGAUCCAGGCAGUGGACUCGAUGUUGCAUCCAAUCUGAUAACAAUUUUAAAACAUGUAAUGGAGAAGAGAUAAUGCCAUAGCAAAUAAAAAAAGUAAAAGCUG
Zootermopsis nevadensis is the source of this 378-nucleotide long non-coding RNA. RefSeq lists it as uncharacterized. The record is from RefSeq and is a predicted model, not a curated record. NCBI's taxonomy places the organism in Eukaryota, Metazoa, Arthropoda, Insecta, Blattodea, Termopsidae.